UGGAUUCUCCCUUGACUUUUUUUCCCAGAGUUAAUCAAAACGAUUGUGUACUUUGCCAUUGCGCCAUUAUUAUGUUUUCCUCAAGAUUAUUCAAUCAAAUGUGACACACACAGUGACAGUGUGCCUACAUUUAGCUGCAAGUGACUACUAUAGGUUUCAGGUAAAUUUGAUGACCAUAUAAUACAGCUUCAAAAGCAGCAAGAUCUGUGUACCCUCCAUUUAUUUGUAUCGGACAUAAGACAGUACUACAGCCACUCUUAGACGUUGUGAUGUAUUUUGACCUUUUCUUUACUUUUUUGCUUCAUGGCAAUGACCAAUCAGAACUAGUUAUUGUCAUGAUGUAGUUAGUUUUUGGGUGGUGGUGAUGUCAACUUGUACUGGAUUGACUGGUAAUAAUCAGUUCUCUCAAAGUUUGCAUAACUUUCUCUUAGGGAUGUCCGAUAAUAUUGGGCAACCAACAUUAUUGGCCAAUUUUAGCACAGUAAAGUAAUAGCGGUAGGAAUUGUGAUCUGUUUUUCCUCAGAUAAUAAAAACCUGAUCACGCAAUGCCUGAGUUUCACUCAGAUGAUGGUGGUGCCUAGAAUCCAAAUCGCUUGUUAACAGCUGAUCUGAUAGAGGCUUUUCACUUUUUGUCCUUGUUUAUUGUGUGUUUAUGUAUAAACUACUUGCAGGCCACUUGUCAGUGGAAAGUUGGUCAAUCGUUGUUGUGACAAAAUGCUUUACAGCCAAAGAUCUAAGGCUCAAUCCUAUGUUUUCGAAUUAGUGUUGAGGUUGCGUGGUGGAGCCAAUCCUCUGAUGACUGCUGGGAUAGGUCUGGUUUUACCCCAUGUGAUAUUGUGCAGGUCACAUGACAUGUUUGUGUAUGCCAGAAAAAAAUUGAAAUGAAUUAUUUAUUUAUUUUUCCUUCUCAGUUGUUAGACAAUGACUCACAAAUAGUUGAUCUAAGCAUGGACAGCAAUACUGUGAUUACUUUGACCAUCAUGUUUAAUUAAAAUGAUUAGUUACAGCUUAACUAUUGAUGGCAAAGGCAAACAUGGUUGUUCUAACAAACAUGCAUGGGCACGAGUCAAUAUCAGCAAGACAGCCUGUCAGAGUGUAAUCAGUAAUGUAAUUACCUGUGCCUUAAUUUCCUGUCAUUGCAGUUUUUGUUGCAACAGAAGUUAGGCAUUACCCAAGCUGUUUGACCAAGACACUAAGCCAAGACCUUAUGUCCUUUACUUCAACUCUUGCAUGCUUCCCUAAGACUGUAACCCUGCCCUAUGAAGUAAAAUGGUUUACUACGUAUAUUUAAUAUAUGUUAACACUCUGUACCAUACAACAGAAACACAAAAA
Molecule: long non-coding RNA, 1332 nt
Organism: Cynoglossus semilaevis (tongue sole)
Lineage: Eukaryota; Metazoa; Chordata; Actinopteri; Pleuronectiformes; Cynoglossidae
Exons: 2
Source: RefSeq, a predicted model, not a curated record